UUGAACGCUGGCGGCAUGCUUUACACAUGCAAGUCGAACGGUAACAGGCCUUCGGGUGCUGACGAGUGGCGAACGGGUGAGUAAUGCAUCGGAACGUACCCAGAGGUGGGGGAUAACGCAGCGAAAGCUGUGCUAAUACUGCAUGUGAUCUGAGGAUGAAAGCGGGGGACCGAGCAGCAAUGUUUGGCCUCGCGCCUUUGGAGCGGCCGAUGUCGGAUUAGCUAGUUGGUGGGGUAAAGGCCUACCAAGGCGACGAUCCGUAGCUGGUCUGAGAGGACGACCAGCCACACUGGGACUGAGACACGGCCCAGACUCCUACGGGAGGCAGCAGUGGGGAAUUUUGGACAAAGGGCGCAAGCCUGAUCCAGCAAUGCCGCGUGCGGGAAGAAGGCCUUCGGGUUGUAAACCGCUUUUGGCAGGAACGAAACGGUGUCCGCUAAUACCGGGCGCUAAUGACGGUACCUGCAGAAUAAGCACCGGCUAACUACGUG
RNAcentral lists this ribosomal RNA (491 nucleotides) under uncultured bacterium. Its description in RNAcentral is "partial 16S ribosomal RNA". It matches the Rfam family "Bacterial small subunit ribosomal RNA", at positions 29 to 507 of the family's 1533-position model. The record is from RNAcentral.